ACAAUGUGCCAGACUCUGAAUUGGGUACUCCAGGCAUAUUAUUUCAUCUAAUUCUCACUACAACCCAGUGCAAGUAGUUGUUAAUAAUCUCAAGUUGUCAAUUUUUAAAAAUUGAAGCUCCAAGAGAUUAAGUAACUGUUCCAGUCUGCACAGCUAGAAAAUGGUGAAGUUGGGAUUCCAGCCUGGGUCAGUCUCUUUCCAAAGCCUGUGGCUGCUACACCCGCGCUCAGGAUGCUCAGGGUGGAAAGAAACUGACGUCUUUCUUCCUGCACUGCAGAAGGAAGGCAAUUAGCGGUCCAUGGUUCCUUGCGUUUGAGCUCUGCAGGUGAAAGGAUUGAUGACAAUUCUAGAAUUAAUAGCGCUUGGCAGCUGUCACCUUCCCUAGACGGCAGGGUUAAGAAGAGGAGUUCUGAAAACCUGGGCCAGUGGAGGCGGCUCCUUGGUCUGAAAUCAGGAUGGUUCUGAUUCAGACGGUCGCCUACAGAUGCAUUUUCCCCCUGUGUUUCUUUAGUACCCGGGAGCUCUGACCCCGACCUGUGUCUAGGGACAGACUGCGGUGGAGGCAGAAAGGACUACUUGAGUGUAUCAGCUCUAAGGAUGAGAGCAGAGGCAGCAGAGCAGACAUAACUGAGCACCCCCGAGGUCGGGCGUGGUCCUCGAGUGGUUUUUCUGCUUCGUUGAUCAGAUUCUUUAAGGCUCCGAGUUCAUUAAACAGAAUCUCCAUUCCAUGUCCCUGAGUCCCUGUGUGGGCUUGGUUCCUACACCACAUGGCCGAAGCCCGCCAAGAUGGAUGACACGUCCUCCACAGGCAGGCCCCUUGCCACCCACCCUGUCCUGAGCGAUGUCUGCUGAGAUCACGGGAAUUCAUCUCUCGCACCAGGAAGCCUCGGCGGCACCGCCCUCCCUUUCUCCUUCACCAGACCCCUGCCUUGUGGGCCCUCCGGCCCUUCCCUUUGGGGCCCUCUGUUCCCUGCCCUGAGCUCCACGCCAGCUCUCCCAGUGCCUCUGGAGCAGACCCGCUCCACUCUGCCCUGCCCCUCACCGCUCCCCUCAAAGCUUACCUGUGCUGCCCUGAGAGUCCCUUUCCAGCCCAGAGCUAGCCGGUGUCCGUGCCCCUGGCUGUCCCUCAGCACCACCCUAUCCUGAAACUGACCCCUUUCCAAUCCUCCGCCUACUUCCUGACCCCGCCUCUGCUCCCUCAGGGUUCAGGGUUCCAAGUAGGAAGGGCCCGGCAGGAGGUCCUUUGGGAGAGAAAGAUGAGAGAGACUGGAAGGGGUCAGGCUAAAUGGGACUCUGGAUCCACCUCUGCAAAGACUGUUGUUACACACAGUUGUUUCCAACAUACUGUUGGAUUUGGGUUACAAGAAGGGUUAAACUACCUAAAAAUUUGUUUUUCACAUAUAGACGAGUGUGUACUUUCUUAAGUAGUUUUUCACAGUGCUUUUUAAAAAUAUAUACUGCUUAAAAAAUGAAAAGUCAGCAAUAAAUGAAGCAGAAAGAGUAACAGUAUAUUUAUAGAGCUUGUUUCAUAUGCUACCACUAUUAAAAUAUCCAGAUGUACCAUUAUGGGACCAAAAUCUACUCAGCGUAUAUUGAAGCGAAUGCUUCCCAGCUGUACCAUUUCACAUUCUUUGCACUGAAUUUUGAGUCAGAAAGCCCUGACAUUAGGUCUUCUGUGCAGCAUUUAGGACUAGUGCAAGCCAGCCUGAUCAUGCUGGUUAGGAACAGCAAUAUUGUUUUUUUAAAAAAAUUAUUGUUAAAAUAUCCCUUGUACCUAGAAAAGUUCAAAGUAGUACAAAUUGAGGUAAAUGAAAAACUAGUCUUUUAAACUUUGCUGCCUCGCCGACCAGUCUAACUCCCUAAAGGCAAGCACUUUGAACCAUUUCUAACUUUACUUCUUGUUUUGGUUAUUACCAGAAUUGUAGAUGAGUGACCUCCUACUUCCCGACCGUCAGAGAUGGUGAAUGUCAGUCAUCUGCACCCUCCUCCACAUUAUCCCAUGAGGAGACCUGCCUGUCAGCAAUGGAGACGUGUGCGGCAUUGUAUCUCAGGACCCAGAGCCAGGCUCGGCGUGCGGAGGGCAUUUCAUAAGGAAUUGUAGGAUAAACUAAACCAUAUACUCAAAUAUGUAUUUCUGGGUCAGCAGCCCUGACACAGUCAUCCCUGGAGAGACUGUGAUAAACUCUGACUCCCUGCUGUUCUGGAAGGAAUUUAGUCCUCUUGGUGACUGACUGGAGCAGGAACUGCCUUCAAGGAGGCCUCACAUGUGGAUCUGCCAUAGGGCAAGCACACCUGGAGAAUGACUUUGGGGGAGUGACCUUGGAUUUGCUCUGUCUGCAAUAAACAUUCUGGAACGUG
Equus caballus (horse) is the source of this 2358-nucleotide non-coding RNA. NCBI's taxonomy places the organism in Eukaryota, Metazoa, Chordata, Mammalia, Perissodactyla, Equidae. The record is from RefSeq and is a predicted model, not a curated record.